UGCCUUUUGGUUUGUAGUAUGCUAAUUAUUUCACUAAUAUUUUCCUAUAGAGGUAGCAUUUGAUUGGCUCUUUUGUGUUUAGUUGAUUCUCCUUUGUUACUUGUUGGUACAGUCAUCAACUGUGACUUUCUUCCGCCAUGCAGGUUAGUGUGGAUGGUCUAGUUUGAUGCACAAUUUCCAAUGAUCAAUCUGUCAAGUUAUAUGAUGUCGUCAAUUAUGACAUGAUGGUCAUGAUUCGGCUACCAUUCAUCCCUGAUAGUAUUGAGUGGGUAUAUAAACAAGGCGAUGUUAGAGCUAGGCUUGCCAUCAGUGGUCUAAACUCCUCGUUUGUAUACAUAAUAUAUAUGAUGCAAGAGCGGGUUCAAAUGAACCUAUCAUCUCAAAAGAGAGAUGCUUGGGGCCAAUUAAAGUUAUGAAAUACAACCCUGUAUUUGACACUAUGAUAUCUGCUGAUUCAAAGGGAAUCAUUGAAUAUUGGAGUCCUGCAACACUUCAGUUUCCAAAGAUUGAGUAUGUCUUUAUUCUUUCAUGCUCUUCUGUAGUUUUCUUUGAGUCCUAUGUGCCUAACAUCUUGCUUGGAGUAUUGUUGACUCUUUCCAUGUUGAGAACUUUAUUUUUGGGUGCAUGUAUGUGUUUUUUAGUUUCUUCUGAUUGCCAUGAAUGCCUAACAAUACUCUCAUUUAUCUGAUACAUACAGUGCAAGUUUUAGACUGAAAAGUGACACCAAUCUAUUUGAAAUUGUGAAAUGCAAGACAAGCAUUUCCACUAUUGAGGUAAUAUACUGGUGUGAACUAUGCUUGACACAGAUGCACCAUUAUCAAUACUUUUUUUUUUUGAAUGGCUUAAUCUUUUAAUUGGGUCAUUGUUAAAAGCUUGAUUUGAAAGACAGCAGGAUAAAAGAACCUUAUAAAUGUACUGCUCCUAAUUUUAGUUGGUUAAAAUUUUCAUAUUAGGGUCUCGUCCUUUACUUGGCAAAAGAAAAGAUGGUUAUUCAUGUAAAGAUGUCCCGAAUUCUCGUUGUCCCACAUUAAUAGUGUUUAUUUUUCUUCCUUCCCUAUGGCUGAAUGCCUAGGAUGGUAACAUCACACUUUGUGGCACGUAGUUGUAUAGAGUAUAGUGGCCUAUUUCAUUUCCACAUUGGCUUGGAUGACUGCUUGUUGCUUAAACAAUGACAAGAUUUGGUAGGAUAUUUUUAUUGGUGAUUAUAUGUUCACAAAUUUAGAAUGCGGCUGGCAAGUUACUAUGUUGCUUUUAAACUUCAGUGGUUUGCUAUGUUUUUGUUAUUCUAUAAAUGAAUUCCAUGUGUAUGAACAACUAAGUGGAUGUUCAUCUCUACACUUUAAGACAUGACAGCCCUUUCACGGUGUCAAUGGCCAAUGCUGGCCCUAACACCAAUGGCUAUCAGUUCUUUAUCACCACAGUGGCCACACCAUGGUUGGACAAUAAGCACACUGUUUUUGGUAGAGUUGUAAGGGGAAUGGAUGUUGUCCAGGUAAUGUUGAAUCCUUUUUUAUCCUCCUACUAUCCACAAGUAAUCUUUCUUCUCUGCUCUUGCAUGGUUGUGUCAUUUGUGUGAGAGAGAGAAAGAGGAGGGAGUUGGAAAUCAUACGUAUGCAUCAUAUCUUAUGCGAGGUAACUCCAUGUGCAUGGUGUUACAUCACACUUAGUGUACGUCUCAAAUUGCACCUUUUUAAUAAGCUUUCAGGCAUAUAUGUAUUACAGAGCCUUGAUAAGUAGAUAAAAUAAGCACAUCCUUACUUCACCUGGUAUUAGACAUGUUUUAUUUUCCUGUAACUUAUUAAAUAUAUUAUUCUGCAUUUGGAAUUCACACACAACUUUGGCAGGCAAUUGAGAAGGUGAAGACAGACAAGGCAGACAAGCCGUACCAAGAUGUAAAAAUCCUGAAUGUGACUGUUCCCAAGUCUUAGCAGAUUCACCCUUAAAAAGGUGAAUCUGUCUUGAUAUUGUUGGCGGCAUGGCUAAGAAUUACCUGCCAAGUAUUUUUUAUUCUGUAGUCUGAGAUUUUGUCCUCGGAAGCGGUCUUGCCCCUCUUAACCCUCCUCCACAUUUAUAUGAUGAUGUAUGAGUAGCUCCUGUACGCAAGCGGUGGUCUGACCUUUAUGAUAUUGUUAAUGAAUAUCCAUUUUAUAAAAUGUACUUCAUAGUAUUUUCACUCAAUUGAUUGCCUUAAUGUAUGUUUCUUCUAUGGUAAACAAUUUUGAAGAGAAAAAACAUUCUUGGCUC
Long non-coding RNA from Hevea brasiliensis (rubber tree), 2244 nucleotides. RefSeq lists it as uncharacterized. NCBI's taxonomy places the organism in Eukaryota, Viridiplantae, Streptophyta, Magnoliopsida, Malpighiales, Euphorbiaceae. The transcript is spliced from 3 exons. The record is from RefSeq and is a predicted model, not a curated record.